RNAcentral lists this ribosomal RNA (253 nucleotides) under uncultured bacterium. RNAcentral's name for it is "partial 16S ribosomal RNA". It matches the Rfam family "Bacterial small subunit ribosomal RNA", at positions 524 to 776 of the family's 1533-position model. The record is from RNAcentral.
UACGUAGGUGACAAGCGUUGUCCGGAUUUACUGGGCGUAAAGAGCGCGCAGGCGGUCGAUCUAGUCGAGUGUGAAAGCCCCCGGCUCAACUGGGUAGGGUCAUUCGAUACUGAUCGACUCGAAGGCAGGAGAGGGUAGUGGAAUUCCCGGUGUAGUGGUGAAAUGCGUAGAUAUCGGGAGGAACACCAGUGGCGAAGGCGACUACCUGGCCUGUUCUUGACGCUGAGGCGCGAAAGCUAGGGGAGCAAACGGG